Molecule: ribosomal RNA, 1247 nt
Filed under: metagenome
Description: bacterial LSU rRNA
Rfam family: Bacterial large subunit ribosomal RNA
Source: RNAcentral
UGAGUACGAGCUGCUACGGCAGCGAAGUGGGUGAUGUCAAGCUUCCAAGAAAAGCCCUAUACCCGUUAAGGCAUGACGGCCUGUACCCGAAACCGACACAGGUGGGGUGGUAGAGAAUACCGAGGGGCGCGAGAUAACUCUCUCUAAGGAACUCGGCAAAAUGGCCCCGUAACUUCGGGAGAAGGGGUGCCACCGCAAGGUGGUCGCAGUGAAGAGGCCCAGGCGACUGUUUACCAAAAACACAGGUCUCCGCUAAGUCGCAAGACGAUGUAUGGGGGCUGACGCCUGCCCAGUGCCGGAAGGUUAAGGAAGCUGGUCAGCGUAAGCGAAGCUGGCGACUGAAGCCCCGGUGAACGGCGGCCGUAACUAUAACGGUCCUAAGGUAGCGAAAUUCCUUGUCGGGUAAGUUCCGACCCGCACGAAAGGCGUAACGAUCUGGGCGCUGUCUCGGAGAGAGGCUCGGCGAAAUAGAAUUGUCUGUGAAGAUGCGGACUACGUGCACCCGGACAGAAAGACCCUAUGAAGCUUUACUGUAGCUUGGUAUUGUGCCCGGGCUCUGAAUGCGCAGGAUAGGUGGGAGGCUUUGAUCCAUUGCUUGUGGGUGAUGGUGAGCCACUGGUGAGAUACCACUCUUUCAGAGCUAGGGUUCUAACGGUCACCCGUUAUCCGGGGACCGGACAGUAUCAGGUGGGCAGUUUGACUGGGGUGGUCGCCUCCUAAAAGGUAACGGAGGCGCGCAAAGGUUCCCUCAGGCUGGUUGGAAAUCAGCCGACGAGUGUAAAGGCAGAAGGGAGCUUGACUGUGAGACCUACAAGUCGAACAGGGACGAAAGUCGGCCUUAGUGAUCCGACGGUUCUGAGUGGAAGGGCCGUCGCUCAACGGAUAAAAGUUACUCUAGGAUAACAGGCUGAUCUCCCCCAAGAGUUCACAUCGACGGGGAGGUUUGGCACCUCGAUGUCGGCUCAUCGCAACCUGGGGCUGAAGUCGGUCCCAAGGGUUGGGCUGUUCGCCCAUUAAAGCGGUACGCGAGCUGGGUUCAGAACGUCGUGAGACAGUUCGGUCCAUAUCCGGUGCACGCGCAGGAACAUUGAGAGGAUUUCUCCCUAGUACGAGAGGACCGGGAGGAACGCACCUCUGGUGUACCAGUUAUCGUGCCAACGGUAAACGCUGGGUAGCCAUGUGCGGAGUGGAUAACCGCUGAAAGCAUCUAAGUGGGAAGCCCACCUCAAGAUGAGUGUUCCCAUGGC